CGCCCUGUUAACAAAAACAUGUCCUUUUGAAUAUAUUUAAGGUCUAACCUGCCCAAUGAGGAUUUAAAUGGCCGCAGUAUUUUGACUGUGCAAAGGUAGCAUAAUUAUUAGUUUUUUAAUUGAAAGCUUGUAUGAAGGGUUGGACGAGAUAAAAUCUGUCUUUAUUUAAAUUAAAGUAGAAUUUAACUUUUAAGUCAAAAGGCUUAAAUGUUAGUAAAAGACGAGAAGACCCUAUAGAUCUUUAUUUAAUUAAUACUUUAAUAAUUUAGGAUUAAUUUAAUUUAAAGUUUUAAUUAAAUUUUAUUGGGGUAAUAUAAAGAUUAAAUAAAUUCUUUUUAUUUAUUACAUUGAUUUAUGAAUAAAUGAUCCAAUAUUAUUGAUUAUAAGAUUAAGUUACCUUAGGGAUAACAGCGUAAUUUUUUUGGAGAGCUCAUAUCGAUAAAAAAGUUUGCGA
RNAcentral lists this ribosomal RNA (454 nucleotides) under Calomera angulata. Its description in RNAcentral is "partial 16S ribosomal RNA". It matches the Rfam family "Bacterial large subunit ribosomal RNA", at positions 1797 to 2523 of the family's 2925-position model. The record is from RNAcentral. Lineage: Eukaryota; Metazoa; Arthropoda; Insecta; Coleoptera; Carabidae.